AACGAACGCUGGCGGCAUGCCUAACACAUGCAAGUCGAACGAGACCUUCGGGUCUAGUGGCGCACGGGUGCGUAACGCGUGGGAACCUGCCCUUAGGUUCGGAAUAACUCCCCGAAAGGGGUGCUAAUACCGGAUAAUGUCUUCGGACCAAAGAUUUAUCGCCUUUGGAUGGGCCCGCGUUGGAUUAGCUAGUUGGUAGGGUAAAAGCCUACCAAGGCGACGAUCCAUAGCUGGUCUGAGAGGAUGAUCAGCCACACUGGGACUGAGACACGGCCCAGACUCCAAGGGAGGGCGGGAGGGGGGAAUAUGGGACAAGGGGCAAAAGCGUAAACCGGCAUGCCGCGGGAGAGAUGAAGGCCUUAGGGUUGUAAAGCUCUUUUACCCGGGAUGAUAAUGACAGUACCGGGAGAAUAAGCUCCGGCUAACUCCGUG
RNAcentral lists this ribosomal RNA (432 nucleotides) under uncultured bacterium. RNAcentral describes it as "partial 16S ribosomal RNA". It matches the Rfam family "Bacterial small subunit ribosomal RNA", at positions 29 to 507 of the family's 1533-position model. The record is from RNAcentral.